Molecule: long non-coding RNA, 629 nt
Filed under: Homo sapiens (human)
Lineage: Eukaryota; Metazoa; Chordata; Mammalia; Primates; Hominidae
Description: HSALNT0327783
Source: RNAcentral
GCCAAAUUAAAGAAGGAUGUGAAGGUUAGGCUAAGAAGUGUGAUGAGCUUUAUUUAGGUAAUAGGCAAUGAGGAGAAAUUGAAACAUGAAGGAACAUAAUUUGAGGUGUGAUUAUUUGAGUUUUUAAAAUAUUAUCACUGUGCAUCAGAAUGGGUUAGGGAAGGCUUAAAUCCUGGAUGCUGGCUCAGCACCUAUUAGAGCAAUUAAAAUGAGAAAUGAUGCAGACUAAACUAGAAUUUCAGGUAAAAAUGGGAAAAAUAGGCGUUAAAAAAUGGUAUAAACGUUAAAAAACUACACUUGACUGAGUUAGAAUAUGGAGGAAAAGGAAGUAUGGAGAUCAAAAGAAAACAUCAGGAUUUGGGAGCUUGGACACAGGGGAAUGACAACGUAAAGGGAUUAUUUCAAAGAUAAUUUGGCAUAGACACUUCUAGACUCUCCUCUUCAUCUGUGUGUGGAGGGGUUCUUGCUGUAUGGCUCACGCUGCUCUUGAACUGCUGGUCUCAAGCGAUCGUCCUGCCUAGGCCUUCCAAAGUGCUGAGAUUACAGGUGUGACCUAUCACACUGGGCCUCAGCUUCACUCUUGAAAUACAUUUUGCUGGUUAUUUGACUUCUAGUUGGCAGCCAUUUAG